AGGUGCGAUCAUAUCAGCACUAAUGCACCGGAUCCCAUCAGAACUUCGCAGUUAAGCGUGCUUGGGCGAGAGUAGUACUAGGAUGGGUCACCUCCUGGGAAGUCCUCGUGUUGCACCUC
This 119-nucleotide ribosomal RNA is filed under the name Vigna angularis (adzuki bean). The record is from RNAcentral. Lineage: Eukaryota; Viridiplantae; Streptophyta; Magnoliopsida; Fabales; Fabaceae.